Molecule: ribosomal RNA, 379 nt
Filed under: uncultured bacterium
Lineage: Bacteria
Description: bacterial SSU rRNA
Rfam family: Bacterial small subunit ribosomal RNA
Source: RNAcentral
GACGAACGCUGGCGGCGUGCUUAACACAUGCAAGUGGAGCGACGAACCAGGGCUUGCCCUGGGGCAGAGCCGCGAACGGGUGAGUAACACGUGGGUAACGUACCCCGAUGACUGGGACGAACCCGGGGAAACCCGGGCGUAAUACCGGAUGUGCACCCUCACAUCAGUGAGGUGUGUAAAGGAAGCUUCGGCCUCCGCGUUGGGAUCGGCCCGCGGCGCAUUAGCUUGUUGGUGAGGUAACGGCUCACCAAGGCCGCGAUGCGUAGCUGGUCUGAGAGGACGAUCAGCCACACUGGGACUGAGACACGGCCCAGACUCCUACGGGAGGCAGCAGUGGGGAAUCUUGCGCAAUGCGCGAAAGCGUGACGCAGCAACGCCG